UUACGGGAGGCAGCAGUGGGGAAUUUUGGACAAUGGGCGAAAGCCUGAUCCAGCCAUUCCGCGUGCAGGAUGAAGGCCCUCGGGUUGUAAACUGCUUUUGGACGGAACGAAAAGCCUUUUUCUAAUACAGGAAGGUCAUGACGGUACCGUCAGAAUAAGCACCGGCUAACUACGUGCCAGCAGCCGCGGUAAUACGUAGGGUGCAAGCGUUAAUCGGAAUUACUGGGCGUAAAGCGUGCGCAGGCGGUUAUGUAAGACAGAUGUGAAAUCCCCGGGCUCAACCUGGGAACUGCAUUUGUGACUGCAUAGCUAGAGUACGGUAGAGGGGGAUGGAAUUCCGCGUGUAGCAGUGAAAUGCGUAGAUAUGCGGAGGAACACCGAUGGCGAAGGCAAUCCCCUGGACCUGUACUGACGCUCAUGCACGAAAGCGUGGGGAGCAAACAGGAUUAGAAACCCCUGUAGUCCC
RNAcentral lists this ribosomal RNA (466 nucleotides) under uncultured bacterium. RNAcentral's name for it is "bacterial SSU rRNA". It matches the Rfam family "Bacterial small subunit ribosomal RNA", at positions 339 to 797 of the family's 1533-position model. The record is from RNAcentral.